Molecule: ribosomal RNA, 253 nt
Filed under: uncultured bacterium
Lineage: Bacteria
Description: partial 16S ribosomal RNA
Rfam family: Bacterial small subunit ribosomal RNA
Source: RNAcentral
UACAGAGGUCUCAAGCGUUGUUCGGAUUCAUUGGGCGUAAAGGGCGCGUAGGCGGCCUUCUAAGUCAGACGUGAAAUCCCUCGGCUCAACCGAGGAACUGCGUCUGAUACUGGAAGGCUUGAAUCCGGGAGAGGGAUGUGGAAUUCCAGGUGUAGCGGUGAAAUGCGUAGAUAUCUGGAGGAACACCGGUGGCGAAGGCGGCAUCCUGGACCGGUAUUGACGCUGAGGCGCGAAAGCUAGGGGAGCAAACGGG